UAUGCCACGGCGAAAAGGGUCGACUAAACGAGAGGAGUCUUUUUGCCAUUUCUUUGGGGCUAGAGUUUGCCGAUCGUUCAGUGGGCGGCGCCACUUUGCGGUGAUGUCCCCGAAUACGUCUUUCCGAACAUCAGAACUGUCUUGUAGUCGAGCAGCAAAACGGAUGGUGUUACAUUGGUCACUAAAAUAUGCGGAUAACCCGGAGCAGGACCAAACCAUUUUACGCAUUAACUUUAAAAACAUUACUCAUUACAUAGACCAGAUAGAGAAGCUUGUGAAUUGAUAGUGUAGAUGAGGCUUUAGUGCCUUUCAAGUCAACACUUGAGUAACGGGAAACAAUUUUAAAUUCCUUUUUUUUUUUCUUCUGAAGCUCAUAUCUGGAUUAAGGACUCAAGACGAUGUGUAUUUGCUUCUAUGUAGUUAUCGGUCUGAUUAUCCUGCUCGUCAUAGUGGUUGCAUCUAUGAACUUAACCCGCAGAUGAGCCGAACCCUAGGAAUGGAGUUCAAGUUCGAAUAAUCCAGAUAGCCAGCAAGUUUUUGGUGUUUUAUUACUGUAAACAUUUGCAUACAAGACUGCUCUCCCCGCUCCACGCUGGUUACUAUAAUUAACUGAAUAUUUAUUACUGCGGUAGAUAAAAUGUUAUGCGGCUAUUAUUUUAGUUUUACGGCCAACCAAGAAGCCAACAAGCCAACAAGCCAACAGGCAAACUCGGCUAACUGAGCUUAAGCCUCAGACGGAACAUGAACAUGGCAGGCCACCAAAGUGGCGGCUCGUACAUGAAUAUGCAAUCCGAGCCAAAAUGCAGUCGGCGCCCCUUCGGUUUGGCCAACCACGUGGGCCACUCUACCUGAACCACCUUUUAGCCAUCAAGCCAAGCCACCUACACGGAUAAAUCCAGCCAAGAUACACCUAAACCAUUGAACAGUCGGCGCCAAUUAAGUCCACGAAAAGAUCGGAUGGAGGAUUUCAGAGAUGAUGUUUUUAGGAAAGGACAUACGAAUACAUAUGAAAUAAAAAAGUAAUUUCAUACUUAAGUAGAAGACUGGCGUUCUUAAAACUUGAUCAAGGGACUUGCAGUUGUUGAUUUUUCUUGUUAUACCCAUCCAAAAAUGCUUAUCUUUGUUAAAAUCUACAACUAAUAAUAUAAUAAACAAUAAAAGCUACAAUAUGGACAAGUUGGCAACACGAAUUCUGGUGUAAAAUUUUACUGCGCGCGAUGUGAAACAAUCGCUAAUUGUUUUAGGACCUUCGCUUCAGAUGCGGAGGCAAUAAGGUGUGAAAUUCCAGACCGGGUUUUGACUUUUCGCCCGCGGCACAAAAGUUUUUAGCCAGCCAAAUGAAAAUUACGCAUACGCCGCCUUGUCUUACACUGAAGUAAGGAGCGCAAAUGAAUAUAACUCAUACGCCACGUAGCAGCUGCCGGGUAAUUAUAAUCAUUUAAUGAAGAGCACUGUAACGAGAGUUAUGAGACCUUCCACUAAUGUACGCAAAUCUCGUGCGGAUUCAAAAAAAUGAUCUAUAAUGGGUUAAUACAUGUUGUCUGAUUGCUUUGUCACCGCAACUUUAAUUGGUGUCUGUCGCUGAUAAAAAAAAAAAUAAACAAUUUCGCUCCAUUUCACACCAUGGCUAAAAACUCAAUUCGUAUUAAUUGCAAAUGAAAACCCGUGUUUCGUAAUGACAAUUCGACACGCUCAGUCGAUUUAAUCGGGGAGCUAUAAAAGCUCCACCCGCAACU
Molecule: non-coding RNA, 1736 nt
Organism: Drosophila melanogaster (fruit fly)
Lineage: Eukaryota; Metazoa; Arthropoda; Insecta; Diptera; Drosophilidae
Source: Ensembl